GACGAACGCUGGCGGCGUGCUUAACACAUGCAAGUCGAACGGAAAGGCGCCCCUGUGGGGUACUCGAGUGGCGAACGGGGGAGUAACACGUUAGUAACCUACCCUUGACUGUGGGAUAACUUCAGGAAACUGGGGCUAAUACCGGAUAGGAGCUCCUGCUGCAUGGUGGGGGUUGGAAAGUUUCGGCGGUUGGGGUUGGCCUCGCGGCUUAUAGGCUUUUUGGGGGGGUAGUGGCUCACCAGGGCUUUGACGGGUAGCCGGCCUGAGAGGGGGACCGGCCACAUUGGGCCUGAGAUACGGCCCAGAGUGCUACGGGAGGCAGCAGUGGGGAAUCUUGCACAAUGGGCGGAAGCCUGAUGCAGCGACGUCGCGUGCGGGAUGAAGGCCUUCGGGUUGUAAACCGCUUUCGCCUGUGACGAAGCGUGAGUGACGGUAAUGGGUAAAGAAGCACCGGCUAACUACGUG
Molecule: ribosomal RNA, 465 nt
Filed under: uncultured bacterium
Lineage: Bacteria
Description: partial 16S ribosomal RNA
Rfam family: Bacterial small subunit ribosomal RNA
Source: RNAcentral